Molecule: non-coding RNA, 2838 nt
Organism: Peromyscus maniculatus bairdii (prairie deer mouse)
Lineage: Eukaryota; Metazoa; Chordata; Mammalia; Rodentia; Cricetidae
Source: RefSeq, a predicted model, not a curated record
ACGGUGAAAUUGCUGAGUCAAAACGACACGUAAACUGUUCCUAGACUGACCUGCAGAAACACAUUUAGAGUCAACAAAGCACGAGAGAGCCCAGGGAAGUGUCUUGGUGUGUGUGUGUGUGUGUGUGUGUGUGUGUGUGUCUGUCUGUCUGUCUGUCUGUCUGUAUCUUUCUAAGGAUCCAAAUGCUAGAAGUUUCGGCAGUCGGGGCUUCAGAGGCGCGCGCGGAGUGCAGACACACGCGGGGGAGCAGAACUGGAAGCGCCGCCGAUCAACGGUGCAGAUAACCUGGCCUGCGUGGAGCGCUGGCUGCCGCAACCAGGUGGGGCGCACUCUCCGGCAUCCCGGGUUUGCAUCCCAGGCGCGUCCGGGGUUUGAACGGCUGUGCCACCAUGUGCCAGUCCGCGUCCUUCCCCGCUGGGCCAAAGCGCCCUGGCCACGGUCCUCCUCCUAGAAACACAGUAAACAAGCAGACAGCGCGAGGCUGCGCGAGCCGAACCUCCUGCCCGGAGUCCGGGGCGCUUUUUCCAGACUCGCUCCGACCCGACAACUCGCCGCCCCCCUGGACUUGGGGGCAAGGGCCGGGACCCCUGGAGGAGCACCGGAAGCAGUGACGCCUCGGGGCCCGGGAACGUUUGGAACUCGUGGGGACAGGGGAAUCGUGGUGGUUCCGUGUCUGCCCGCCAUGGCGGCCCUCGGCCAGCGGCCCAAACCAAGUGCAGCGAAGCUUAGGAAAGGUUACCCAACGUCAUGUGGCUUGAGAAGGCUGCCGGGCGCCUAAAGCCGCCAGCAGGUCCCAUGGUGUAAUGGUUAGCACUCUGGACUUUGAAUCCAGCGAUCCGAGUUCAAAUCUCGGUGGGACCUCACUGAACCUUUUUUUGGCCUUACACUCCUUGUUUUGGGGCCUGCAGGAAGUAGCGAGCAACUCGAGGCUGGACGCGGGACGCACUGACCUGCAGGACGGCUGUUCGGCUUCCCCCGGGUUCAACACGCUUACAUUUCAGGAACAGCCCGGGCUGGGUGGCACUGCGCACGCGCGCCGAGUCAGGCGGAAAAAUACAUGUGUUGAUGGAAGACUGAACAUAACUUUACCCCGGAGGGAAAAACGAAAGAACUCGAAGGCUCCCGAGGCUCUCCUGGCGGGGUACGGCCUCACUCCACGCGCCUGGGAGGUCCCGCCCCGUAUCCUCUGAUUGGCUGGUGUGCCGAACGCGCGGCGGGAUUGCUUUGUGAGCAGCAAAUGAAGUGGCCGGACAGGGCUAAGGGGCGGGCAAGUGACGCCAGGAGACCUCUGAUUGGUCACAAGCGAUUGGUACCCGGAGGCUGGUGCGUUUGGGGGGUCAGAGACCCGAGGUUUGGUUUUGGUUAAGCGCUGCUCACCUAGCGAGGUUCGUUUUCCAAUUAGACAACAGUCCCUUAGCGGACAGCUGCCCAGGACCGUUUCUCACCGUCCAUGGGGUGCUCCUCCAAGCGGAGGACAGACAUUUGCUAAAGGUUUCCCCCUGCAGCAGCGCGCGCGAGGCCGUGGGACCUGCGGGAAAAGGCGCACCUCUACGACAGGGUGAAGAUGUAUGCAGGGAGUAUUGUCAUCUUUGGAUUCGUAUCUGGAUUUUGAGAUGUGUUUUUCCCCGUAGGGUAAGUGACGAGGGAGCCUGCUGACGCAUUAUGGUCUCCCUGCAGAGUGAUUGGCACUGUGGCUAUAGGUCCCCACCCUUGGGAGAAUGCCAUGGAAACAAAAAGGAGCCUCGCUAGACUCUCCUAUGAAUCCUCAGAGCACGCCUCUUCCCGGCCCGACCCCACGCACUCUUUAAAACGUCUGAAUGAAUCCGUUUGAAUGAGCCAUCCCAGCCUCAAAAAAUAUCUAAGCAUGAGAGGAGGAAGGACUUGCUCUCGCGGAGAAUAAAGCUGGUUGUCAACAGUACACUAAAGAAAUUAAGAUAAUAUCCGGAUGGAUAAACAUACCGAUGGAACAGAAUAGAGAACCAAGAUACAGCCCCACCUUUAUGGACAGUAGUCAAUUUAUAACAGAGGUGUCCCGGAAAGAAAAUGUAAAUAAUAAUAAAAGUUGGCACAAUAGAGUAGAGCAAAGGACCUCCUUGACACCGGACCGUUGUGUUUAUAUGGAAAAAUAUGAAAUCGGAAUCCUCUCUAAUUUACACCAAGCACAGCAGUGAAUCCCACGUGAAUUGUUGACCUGAAUGUGAAGAAAGCCGGGAAGCUUGGGGUGACAACCUAGGGGAAUACCUGCAUCUCAGUUUAAACAAAGCCUUAAUUAAAGACCCAAGAGUGUCACGCUUCGCGAGAUGAGUGUGCCACUCUAUGCUCUUAUUAGAAGAUACCAAUAAGAGAGAGAGCAUGUCUGUUGCUCAGUGGUAAAGUGUGCAAGGCCCUCGGUGUGCUGGCAUAAUGAGAAGACAAAAGGUAAGCCACAGAAUAGGGAUUUGCAUGUGUAAUGCACAAGUGAUAACGAAAUCUAAAUAAAUAAAUAUAACAAAUUCUAAAAAUCUGUAAGAAAACUGCAGAAAAAUAACAAAGCCAUGGACUGAGGGGGGAUGGCUCAGCCAGAAAAGUUCUUGUACACAGUAAUGAGGACCUGAGUUCAAUCCCCAGAACUUGUGUAUAGUUCUCCAGGCUGGGGAAGCAGAGACAGGAGGGUCUCUGGGGGCUCACUGGCCAGCUCUUAAGAGAAGCUGUCUUUUUAAAAGAAGAAAGUGAAAGAUGCCUGAGGAACUACACCUAAGACUGACCUCUCGCUUCCACAUUCACAGCCACAUGCGCACACGUUUUUAAACAGCAAAAUCAAGAGGAAAACCGCCUCAGACUUGAGUGGGCACCUUGCUU